Molecule: microRNA, 22 nt
Filed under: Drosophila melanogaster (fruit fly)
Lineage: Eukaryota; Metazoa; Arthropoda; Insecta; Diptera; Drosophilidae
Description: dme-miR-4974-3p
Source: miRBase by way of RNAcentral
UAUAAAAUAUAUAUAUUCCUGA